Molecule: transfer RNA, 64 nt
Filed under: Marmota monax (woodchuck)
Lineage: Eukaryota; Metazoa; Chordata; Mammalia; Rodentia; Sciuridae
Description: tRNA.Ala
Source: RNAcentral
UGUUGCUCAGUGGUUGAAUACUUGCCUAGCAUGCACAAGGCCCUGGGUUCAAUUCCCAGAACAA